CAGUAGCCGCGGGAAUACAGAGGGUGCGAGCGUUAAUCGGAUUUACUGGGCGUAAAGCGUGCGUAGGCGGCUUUUUAAGUCGGAUGUGAAAUCCCUGAGCUUAACUUAGGAAUUGCAUUCGAUACUGGGAAGCUAGAGUAUGGGAGAGGAUGGUAGAAUUCCAGGUGUAGCGGUGAAAUGCGUAGAGAUCUGGAGGAAUACCGAUGGCGAAGGCAGCCAUCUGGCCUAAUACUGACGCUGAGGUACGAAAGCAUGGGGAGCAAACAGGAUUAGAUACCUUAGUAGUCCCUGUCUCUUAUAC
This 301-nucleotide ribosomal RNA is filed under the name uncultured bacterium. RNAcentral describes it as "partial 16S ribosomal RNA". It matches the Rfam family "Bacterial small subunit ribosomal RNA", at positions 509 to 807 of the family's 1533-position model. The record is from RNAcentral.